GUAAAAGUUUCUUUUGAUCUGAACACUGUCCAAAUAAAGUACCUGGAUGAAGAGAAUGAAGAG
Fukomys damarensis (Damara mole-rat) is the source of this 63-nucleotide non-coding RNA. Lineage: Eukaryota; Metazoa; Chordata; Mammalia; Rodentia; Bathyergidae. The record is from Rfam.